GAUGAACGCUGGCGGCGUGCUUAACACAUGCAAGUCGAACGGAAAGGCCCAAGCUUGCUUGGGUACUCGAGUGGCGAACGGGUGAGUAACACGUGGGUGAUCUGCCCUGCACUUCGGGAUAAGCCUGGGAAACUGGGUCUAAUACCGGAUAGGACGAUGGUUUGGAUGCCAUUGUGGAAAGUUUUUUCGGUGUGGGAUGAGCUCGCGGCCUAUCAGCUUGUUGGUGGGGUAAUGGCCUACCAAGGCGUCGACGGGUAGCCGGCCUGAGAGGGUGUACGGCCACAUUGGGACUGAGAUACGGCCCAGACUCCUACGGGAGGCAGCAGUGGGGAAUAUUGCACAAUGGGCGCAAGCCUGAUGCAGCGACGCCGCGUGGGGGAUGACGGCCUUCAGGUUGUAAACUCCUUUCGCUAGGGACGAAGCGUUUUUGUGACGGUACCUGGAGAAGAAGCACCGGCUAACUACGUG
Molecule: ribosomal RNA, 468 nt
Filed under: uncultured bacterium
Lineage: Bacteria
Description: partial 16S ribosomal RNA
Rfam family: Bacterial small subunit ribosomal RNA
Source: RNAcentral